GUACACUCCUACGGGAGGCAGCAGUGGGGAAUAUUGGACAAUGGGCGCAAGCCUGAUCCAGCCAUGCCGCGUGAGUGAUGAAGGCCCUAGGGUUGUAAAGCUCUUUCACCGGUGAAGAUAAUGACGGUAACCGGAGAAGAAGCCCCGGCUAACUUCGUGCCAGCAGCCGCGGUAAUACGAAGGGGGCUAGCGUUGUUCGGAUUUACUGGGCGUAAAGCGCACGUAGGCGGACUAUUAAGUCAGGGGUGAAAUCCCGGGGCUCAACCCCGGAACUGCCUUUGAUACUGGUAGUCUUGAGUUCGAGAGAGGUGAGUGGAAUUCCGAGUGUAGAGGUGAAAUUCGUAGAUAUUCGGAGGAACACCAGUGGCGAAGGCGGCUCACUGGCUCGAUACUGACGCUGAGGUGCGAAAGCGUGGGGAGCAAACAGGAUUAGAAACCCCGGUAGUCCCAUG
Molecule: ribosomal RNA, 452 nt
Filed under: uncultured organism
Description: partial 16S ribosomal RNA
Rfam family: Bacterial small subunit ribosomal RNA
Source: RNAcentral